RNAcentral lists this ribosomal RNA (261 nucleotides) under uncultured Ochrobactrum sp. RNAcentral describes it as "partial 16S ribosomal RNA". It matches the Rfam family "Bacterial small subunit ribosomal RNA", at positions 63 to 355 of the family's 1533-position model. Lineage: Bacteria; Pseudomonadati; Pseudomonadota; Alphaproteobacteria; Hyphomicrobiales; Brucellaceae. The record is from RNAcentral.
CGAGCGCCCGCAAGGGGAGCGGCAGACGGGUGAGUAACGCGUGGGAACGUACCUUUUGCUACGGAAUAACUCAGGGAAACUUGUGCUAAUACCGUAUGUGCCCUUCGGGGAAAGAUUUAUCGGCAAAGGAUCGGCCCGCGUUGGACUAGCUAGUUGGUGAGGUAAAGGCUCACCAAGGCGACGAUCCAUAGCUGGUCUGAGAGGAUGAUCAGCCACACUGGGACUGAGACACGGCCCAGACUCCUACGGGAGGCAGCAGCC